This is a long non-coding RNA of Bufo gargarizans (Asiatic toad), 268 nucleotides long. RefSeq lists it as uncharacterized. The record is from RefSeq and is a predicted model, not a curated record. NCBI's taxonomy places the organism in Eukaryota, Metazoa, Chordata, Amphibia, Anura, Bufonidae. The transcript is spliced from 3 exons.
GACGGAGCUGAGACACCGGAGCCUAUACCGGGCGAACGGAGCGGCGCCCAGACAUACUAGUUCCUACAAUAUAGGAUCCGCUCAGUGGAUAUCUUCUAUAUAAGAUCCUUCUCCUGAUUGACCCAUCAAAGAUGGAUAGGGACAAGGACAAGAUGGCAGAAAGGAUAAUAAAUCUCACCCUAGAGAUCCUCUUCCGGCUUACUGGAGAGGACUACACAGUAGUGAAGAAGACCUCUAGUGAGCGCUGUCAGGCCCCUGUGUCUGAAGG